This 1079-nucleotide long non-coding RNA is filed under the name Scleropages formosus (Asian bonytongue). RNAcentral describes it as "lncRNA (ENSSFOG00015030574.1)". The record is from RNAcentral. Lineage: Eukaryota; Metazoa; Chordata; Actinopteri; Osteoglossiformes; Osteoglossidae.
GCACGAUCGCGAUGCGCCUCUUCCUCCAAAGGUUGUUCAUGCCAAGAGGAUAGAGAAGACCAACCUGCUGUUUGUGGUGGCCGAGACCCCCUGCAAGUCGUGCGAGAUGGAGAAGCUGGCUCAGGUGAAGACCGAGUGUAUCCUUCCUUCAGCUCCCCUCCCUCAUGAAAUCAGUUUUCCCCCAAUUUUGUCAGCGUGACAAGCUGUCAACAACCAGAAAGAGGAAAAAAAAAAUUUCAGAAGCACAUUUGAAACUUUAAGUGAGUAAUUAAUCACCUUGGAGCAACACGUACAGUGUUUCCCUUUUUCUGUGGUCACGACGUUUUCCUUCGGGUCUCUUCUCAAAUAUUCGGAAACAUUAUGAGCAGUGUGCAGCGCUGCACGAUGUGAAACGCACGUAUUUGAAAAUGCUCCCGAAAAGCUUUCACACGCUCUACAGUUGCAAGUUGUUCAAAAAUGCACCUUUACUGCUGUUUGGAAAGUUGUUCUCUGCGUAGUACUGCUCAGUCUUCAUUGGACUGGACACAAAGACAGCUUUACUUGCCAGCAUGUAGAGCAAUAUGUGGCAAAAGGAUGCGUUGUUUCUCCAUGGCCUGGCAAGGCGCUGGACGCUGUCGGUCCAAGUGACUGUAUUUCAGAACCGAGUCGGAGCCCCGGUUGUGCUUAGUUGUCCUUAGCCUGAGUGCGAAGUCCAGGAAGAGAACCCGUGUGAGCUGCUGAGCUUGGCGCGCUACAGGAGAGGGCCGUCCACCUGCUUCGACUACAACGUCCAGGAAGUGGUGCAGUCCCAGAAAGGCCAGGCAGGCAGAAGACGUCAGUGUGAGGGUACGGACGGCGGAUGGAGGCAGCAGUGGAGACCAGAUCUGCCCAGCUCCACGUCUCCCUGGUCAUGACUGCUCGCUUCGUCCCUCGACUCUGAUGUUGGAUACUCGCUCCAGGCCUGUUUUCCAAUCGACCGACCAUUCGCCAGUCUCCGACCACAAGAACCAGCCUAGUCCUUCCGUUUUGAAUAAAUGCUCCUGCACUUGGGUCCAGCCUCCUCCAUGUCCUCUGUUUGCCAUGACACCCCAGAAUUCCCC